GACGAACGCUGGCGGCGUGCUUAACACAUGCAAGUCGAACGGUGAAGCGCCUUCCUUUUUGGUGGGUGUGGAUGAGUGGCGAACGGGUGAGUAACACGUGAGUAACCUGCCCCCUUCUUCUGGAUAACCGCAUGAAAGUGUGGCUAAUACGGGAUAUUCUGGUUCUGUCGCAUGAUGGGUCUGGGAAAGAUAUUGUUUCGGUGGGGGAUGGGCUCGCGGCCUAUCAGCUUGUUGGUGGGGUGAUGGCCUACCAAGGCGGUGACGGGUAGCCGGCCUGAGAGGGUGGACGGUCACACUGGGACUGAGACACGGCCAAGACUCCUACGGGAGGCAGCAGUGGGGAAUAUUGAACAAUGGGAGCAAGCCUGAUGCAGCGACGCCGCGGGAGGGAUGGAGGCCUUCGGGUUGUGAACCUCUUUCGCCAGUGAAGCAGGCCUGCCUCGUUUGUGGGUGGGUUGACGGUAGCUGGAUAAGAAGCGCCGGCUAACUACGUG
RNAcentral lists this ribosomal RNA (494 nucleotides) under uncultured bacterium. Its description in RNAcentral is "partial 16S ribosomal RNA". It matches the Rfam family "Bacterial small subunit ribosomal RNA", at positions 28 to 507 of the family's 1533-position model. The record is from RNAcentral.